GGCUUUAUAGUCAAUUUAUGAUAUUAGAUUGCAAAUCUAAAGUAGUAGUAAUACUAAAGCUU
This 62-nucleotide transfer RNA is filed under the name Oxycarenus pallens. RNAcentral describes it as "tRNA-Cys". Lineage: Eukaryota; Metazoa; Arthropoda; Insecta; Hemiptera; Oxycarenidae. The record is from RNAcentral. RNAcentral also lists the same sequence under 2 other names.